Molecule: ribosomal RNA, 253 nt
Filed under: uncultured bacterium
Lineage: Bacteria
Description: partial 16S ribosomal RNA
Rfam family: Bacterial small subunit ribosomal RNA
Source: RNAcentral
UACGUAGGGGGCUAGCGUUGUCCGGAAUCAUUGGGCGUAAAGAGCGUGUAGGCGGCCCGGUAAGUCUGCUGUGAAAGUCAAAGGCUCAACCUUUGAAUGUCAGUGGAUACUGCCGGGCUAGAGUCCGGAAGAGGCGAGUGGAACUCCUGGUGUAGCGGUGGAAUGCGCAGAUAUCAGGAAGAACACCAACGGCGAAGGCAGCUCGCUGGGACGGUACUGACGCUGAGGUGCGAAAGCGUGGGGAGCAAACAGG